GACUACAGCUGUGCCACCCUGAAUGUGCCUCGUUCUGAUCUCAGAAGCUAAGCAGGGUUGGGCCUGGUUAAUAUUUGGAUGGGAGGCCACCUAAGAAGACCAGGUGCUGAAGGCA
This 115-nucleotide ribosomal RNA is filed under the name Pteropus alecto (black flying fox). The record is from RNAcentral. Lineage: Eukaryota; Metazoa; Chordata; Mammalia; Chiroptera; Pteropodidae.